CGCCAAGUCUGGUGCCAUUCCGAGUCCCGCGGACGAACUUCGCCAACGCACCCCACCAAGGCUAUAGCCCACCGUUUUUUGGCCAUUUUUCCGCUGGGGGGUCUUGGGACCCCGAACUUCGGGGGCUGUUUUUUGGGCGCGGCUGUGCCCGUGGCCUAUUUUUGGCACACGGAGGCCGCCCGCCAAGUCUGGUGCCAUUCCGAGUCCCGCGGACGAACUUCGCCCACGCCCCCCACCAAGGCUAUAGCCCACCCUUUUUUUGGCCAUUUUUCCCCUGGGGGGUCUUGGGACCCCAAACUUCGGGG
This 305-nucleotide long non-coding RNA is filed under the name Citrus x clementina. Its description in RNAcentral is "Citrus clementina (C. clementina) long non-coding RNA (CCLE_LNC005025)". Lineage: Eukaryota; Viridiplantae; Streptophyta; Magnoliopsida; Sapindales; Rutaceae. The record is from RNAcentral.